GAUCUAGCUGCUAGAUGCUGACGAGUGGCGCACGGGUGCGUAACGCGUAUGCAACUUACCCUUAACAGGAGGAUAGCCUUUCGAAAGGAAGAAUAAUACUCCAUAAUAUUUUUAAGAGGCAUCUCUUAAAUCUUAAAGUUCCGGCGGUUAAGGAUAGGCAUGCGUCCUAUUAGUUAGUUGGUGAGGUAACGGCUUACCAAGACAUCGAUAGGUAGGGGGCCUGAGAGGGUUAUCCCCCACACUGGUACUGAGACACGGACCAGACUCCUACGGGAGGCAGCAGUGAGGAAUAUUGCACAAUGGACGAAAGUCUGAUGCAGCCAUGCCGCGUGCAGGAUGACUGCCCUAUGGGUUGUAAACUGCUUUUAUAUAGGAAGAAACCCAUCUACGUGUAGAUGGCUGACGGUACUAUAAGAAUAAGGACCGGCUAACUCCGUGCCAGCAGCCGCGGUAAUACGGAGGGUCCAAGCGUUAUCCGGAUUCAUUGGGUUUAAAGGGUCCGCAGGCGGGGAAAUAAGUCAGUGGUGAAAGCCUGCAGCUUAACUGUAGAACUGCCAUUGAUACUGUUUUUCUUGAGUGUAGAUGAAGUGGGCGGAAUGUGUCAUGUAGCGGUGAAAUGCAUAGAUAUGACACAGAACACCGAUUGCGAAGGCAGCUCACUAGACUAUUACUGACGCUCAUGGACGAAAGCGUGGGGAGCGAACAGGAUUAGAUACCCUGGUAGUCCACGCCGUAAACGAUGAUUACUCGGUGCUAGCGAUAUACUGUUAGUGCCUAAGCGAAAGCGAUAAGUAAUCCACCUGGGGAGUACGGUCGCAAGAUUGAAACUCAAAGGAAUUGACGGGGGCCCGCACAAGCGGUGGAGCAUGUGGUUUAAUUCGAUGAUACGCGAGGAACCUUACCUGGGCUUAAAUGUAUAUUGACAGACUGGGAAACCAGUUUUUCUUCGGACA
This 953-nucleotide ribosomal RNA is filed under the name uncultured bacterium. RNAcentral describes it as "bacterial SSU rRNA". It matches the Rfam family "Bacterial small subunit ribosomal RNA", at positions 71 to 1028 of the family's 1533-position model. The record is from RNAcentral.